Molecule: ribosomal RNA, 266 nt
Filed under: uncultured bacterium
Lineage: Bacteria
Description: partial 16S ribosomal RNA
Rfam family: Bacterial small subunit ribosomal RNA
Source: RNAcentral
GUCCACGCCCUAAACGAUGUCAACUAGUUGUUGGGAGAGUAAAAUCUCUUAGUAACGCAGCUAACGCGUGAAGUUGACCGCCUGGGGAGUACGGUCGCAAGAUUAAAACUCAAAGGAAUUGACGGGGGCCCGCACAAGCGGUGGAUUAUGUGGAUUAAUUCGAUGCAACGCGAAAACCUUACCUGGCCUUGACAUGCCACUAACGAAGCAGAGAUGCAUUAGGUGCCCGAAAGGGAAAGUGGACACAGGUGCUGCAUGGCUGUCGU